RNAcentral lists this ribosomal RNA (330 nucleotides) under uncultured eukaryote. Its description in RNAcentral is "partial 18S ribosomal RNA". It matches the Rfam family "Eukaryotic small subunit ribosomal RNA", at positions 1470 to 1796 of the family's 1831-position model. The record is from RNAcentral.
CCCUUAGAUGUUCUAGGCCGCACGCGCGCUACACUGAUGCAUUCAACGAGUCUAAAACCUGGUCUGAUAGGGCUGGGUAAUCUUUUGAAUGUGCAUCGUGAUUGGGAUAGAUGAUUGCAAUUCUUCAUCUUCAACGAGGAAUGCCUAGUAAACGCAAGUCAUCAGCUUGCAUUGAUUACGUCCCUGCCCUUUGUACACACCGCCCGUCGCUCCUACCGAUUGAAUGUUCCGAUGAAUACCAUGGACUGAGAGUAUGAAUGGGUUCGCCUAUUUCUGCUUCUCGGGAAGUGGAGUAAAUCUUAACAUUUAGAGGAAGGAGAAGUCGUAACA